Molecule: ribosomal RNA, 947 nt
Filed under: Niallia circulans
Lineage: Bacteria; Bacillati; Bacillota; Bacilli; Caryophanales; Bacillaceae
Description: bacterial SSU rRNA
Rfam family: Bacterial small subunit ribosomal RNA
Source: RNAcentral
GUAGUGGCAAGCGUAUCCGGAAUUAUAGUCGUAAGCGCGAGCAGGCGCUCGUUAAGUCUGAUGUGAAAGCCCACUCCUCAGCCUCGAGGGUCAUUGGCACUGGGGGACUCGAGUGCAGAAGAGAAGAGUGGAAUUCCACGUGUAGCGGUGAACAUGCGUAGAGAUGUGGAGGAACACCAGUGGCGAAGGCGACUCUCUGGUCCGUAACUGACGAUGAGGCGUGAUAGCGUGGAGAGCAAACAGCAUUCGAUACCAUGGUAGUCCAUACCGUAAACGAUGAGUGAUAAGUGUUAGAGGGUUUCUGCCCAUUAGUGCUGCAGCAAACGCAUUAAGCGCUCCGCCUGGCGAGUACGGCCGCAAGGCUGAAACUCAAAGGAAUUGACGGGGGCCCGCACAACCGGUGCAGCAUGUGAUGUAAUUUGAAGCAACGCGAAGAGCCUUACCAGGUCUUGCCAUCCUAUGACACUCAUAGAGAUAGGACGUUCCCCUUCGGGGGACAGAGUGACAGGUGGUGCAUGGUAGUCGUCAGCUCGUGUCGUGAGAUGUUAGGUUAAGUCCCGCAACGAGCGCAACCCUUGCUCUUAGUUGCCAGCAUUAAGUUGGGCACUCUAAGGAGACUGCCGGUGACAAACCGGAGGAAGGUGGGGAUGACGUCAAAUCAUCAUGCCCCUUAUGACUAGGGCUACACACGUGAUACAAUGGAUGGUACAAAGGGCAGCAAAACCGCGAGGUCGAGCAAAUCCCAUAAAACCAUUCUCAGUUCGGAUUGUAGUCUGCAACUCGCCUACAUGAAGCUGGAAUCGCUAGUAAUCGCGGAUCAGCAUGCCGCGGUGAAUACGUUCCCGGGCCUUGUACACACCGCCCGUCACACCACGAGAGGGUUAACACCCGAAGUCGGAGUGGUUACACCCUUCUUGGAGCACAGCCGACCUAUAGUGGUUCAAGGC